AUUGAACGCUGGCGGCAGGCCUAACACAUGCAAGUCGAACGAGCGGCGGACGGGUGAGUGAUGUCUGGGAGACUGCCUGAUGGAGGGGGAUAACACCUGGAAACGGUAGCUAAUACAGCAUACCAUCAGAUGUGCCCAGAUGGGAUUAGCUCGUAGGUGGGGGAACGGCUCACCUAGGCGACGAUCCCUAGCUGGUCUGAGAGGAUGACCAGCCACACUGGAACUGAGACACGGUCCAGACUCCUACGGGAGGCAGCAGUGGGGAAUAUUGCACAAUGGGCGCAAGCCUGAUGCAGCCAUGCCGCGUGUAUGAAGAAGGCCUUCGGGUUGUAAAGUACUUUCAGCGGGGAGGCGUUACCCGCAGAAGAAGCACCGGCUAACUCCGUGCCAGCAGCCGCGGUAAUUC
This 406-nucleotide ribosomal RNA is filed under the name uncultured bacterium. RNAcentral describes it as "partial 16S ribosomal RNA". It matches the Rfam family "Bacterial small subunit ribosomal RNA", at positions 30 to 526 of the family's 1533-position model. The record is from RNAcentral.